RNAcentral lists this long non-coding RNA (4985 nucleotides) under Homo sapiens (human). Its description in RNAcentral is "HSALNT0281539". Lineage: Eukaryota; Metazoa; Chordata; Mammalia; Primates; Hominidae. The record is from RNAcentral.
CAUAUCUCAGAUUGCCCACUUAGUGAGACAGGUCAUUAGCCCUCCAAGCCUCCAUUUCUUCAUGGAUCAAAUGGUGAUGUGUGCAAAAUGGGGCAGCCUAUAGGGAUGGCAUGAGGACAAAAUAAGGCUUGACACAGUGGUUACCUCCCCUAUACAAUGAUGAUGGAUGAAUCAACUCACAAAAGCUGUGUGGGGCCAGUUCACACUCUGUCCACAACUCUGUAACAAAGGCCAACUGUCUGCUCAGCCAACCCAUGUUUCUCUUUUAGCUUGAAAAUAAAAGGAGAAAACUGAAAGGAAAAUGUAAAAGAGAAGAAAGUCUUUUUAGAAAAGCAGAGGAGGUCUCUCCUGUACUCUAGCCAUAUCACUAGCCUCACCAACAACCUUCCCCUAUUCUGGUUAACUUGGAUUGUCAUGGGCUAUUCACCUUCCUCUUCUGAAGAAAACCACCAGUUGAUGCCUCCUGUCAUCUCAUACAAAAUAGAUCCUGUUCCAAACAGCUACAAGCACAGGGCAAAGCCCUUCAGAGAUUCUGAGACAAGAGCUCAAUCUCGUUCCAGGUUGAUAAAUCAUUCAAGGUGUCCCCACGCCCAUUUUGCAACGCCAUCGUUCAUAAACUAAUUUGACUUGAAUCUAGCUAAAAACAAAGGGGAGCAAUUGCUUUAGAAUCUGGAACCUGGAAUCAUCAUGGUGCAACUUUGGAGAGGGUCAGCCUUUCCAAUUAGGGAAUGUGGUCUUUAGGAGUUGGGAUCAGACGAGAUCUCAGGGAGUCUUCUGUUCUGCAUCUGGGAGAUUUUUCAUGUCACUCCUUGGCUUCUGCCUUCAUAAAACAAAGAAGUUUGUCUUGAUGGCCUUGAAGACCUCUUGUAGUUGCAAAGUUUAAUGCUUGCAGCUAAAGCAGAAGCCCAGGUCUUGCUUUGCAACAUGUCAGACAAAUCAACGGUGGGAAGAAGUUUCAAUAAUGUGAUCACAGGCAGAAUGAAAAUGCUUCAGCACAACCUACAAGCACAUUUUCUCCUUCCUCCAUCCCCUUUAGUGAAGGCCCAAAAUUCUGGUGUGUAAGAAGGUUUUAGAAGGAAAGGAAUGUCAAUUUGGCAUAGGCUUUGUAUUCUGAGGGAGAUAAAGUGUACUCACCAUUUUUCAAAAGGAAUAUGAUGUAUGUGUGACACCCUGACAUAAGUAAUUCUUGGAAAUAAUUUUCAAUGUUUCCUGGUGGAGUUGUUUGGGGUUUCCUAGUGCUUCCUGUAUAAGCCAUUUUAGAUUGUAUACCAGGCAUCCCCUCCUCCUAACAGCAAAGCAGGAAGAAAGCAGCUUUCUGAGAGAAUGAACCUCUCCCCCACCCCUUUGAUGCAAGAAUUCCCUCAUCAGUUAAAUGGAGAAUCAGCUCACCCAGUGAAUUCUAAUGAGGCAGCCGGCUUAGCUGUCAGCAGUCCUCCCUGCUUAAGACGACAGCAAGCGAGGGAAAGGAUUGCACACUACGCGUACCAAGCAGUUUACCUUCCCAUGCCGAGGGACAGGAACAUCAGAACAGCUUCCAAUGGGGCUGGGCUCACUGACAAACCCAGCAGCAAGGAACACUGGAGCAAGUUACCCUGGGUUUAAGGACUCCUGCAAAAUAUGGCUGGUAUAGAAUGGCAAAUUUAAGAAAUUGAUUAAGAUUCAUCCUGAUUAAUCUGAUGAAAAUCUGGGUUUUGAAAUAUAGAUAUAUCUAGGAACUAAAUUGCCCUAAAAUAAGAUACAGGAAAUAUAUAGAUAUACAAAAGCACCCUUUGGAUGCUGGCUCUGAAUUGAAAUGGGAAACAUUUCAAUUUUAGUAUUAAGGGCAACGAGUGAAGGUCCGUUUUGCUAUUAGUUGAGAAAGCAGGGAAACCACUUACAAUGACGACGCUGAGAAAUCCAUAAACAAGGCUGGAAGCAAAGUGGCAGGGGUCCUAGACUGACCUUGGCCACUGGUUCUGUUGCUUGAGAAAAAACAGAUAAGCACCAGGCCUAUGCUUCUGAAACAAGGGAAGACAGUGAAAUGUCAGAUGGACACGUACCCCAGGAAUAAGCAUGGCACAUCUUGCAAAAGCAUCAAUCUUGAUAACUUUAAAUUAUGCUUCUUUUUAAUUUGAAAAUCGACUUUGUGAGAUAGAAAAAAAAAUUUAAGUGUACAUGAGUUUUAGCAAAUGUAAAUACCCAUACAAACACCACCACAAUCAAAACAAGGCAAAUUUCCUCAUCAUCUUCCAAAUUUUCCUUCUGCUUGUUCACAGUUAGUACCCCUUCAAUGUGCUCCUUUGCAUCUGGCUUCUUUUCUUCACCAUAAGUUUUGAGAUUCAUCCAUGUUGUUUUGUGCAUCAGUUCUUUCUUUUUUAUUGCUAUGUAGUAUUCCACUGUAAGAACAUAGCAGAAUUUUUUUAAACCAUUUCUCAUGUUGAUAAAAAUUCAGGUUGUUUCAAGUUUUGGCUGUUAGGAAUAAGGCUCCUAGAAUAUUUGUGUACAAGUUUUUAUGUGGACACGUUUCAUUUCUCUUGGGUAAAUAUCAAGGAGCAAAAUAACUGAGUCUUAAGAUAAGUCUAUGUUUAAUUUUAUUGAAAACUGAUAAACUGUUUUCCAAAGUGGUUCUAUCAUUUUAUACUCCCACUAGCCAUGACUUAUAUUAAAUGCAAAUGGAGUUGAGCACCAUCAUAUAUGGGGAUUCUACAUCCAGUAUGUAAGCACUAUUCAAUUUCCUAUGAAAAAACUCUUAAGGAAUUCACCAAAGUAUCAUAUGCAUGUUUAGGAGUUUGCAGCUCUGUGCUGUGGGUAUGCAUGCAUAUUGCACAUUCAAAAAUAUGCAAGUGUACCUGUAUAUUAUUUAUAGUAAUAGGUAACUGAUGUGGUUUGGCUGUGUCCUCACCCAAAAUCUCAUCUUGAAUUAUAAUCCCCAUAAUCCCCACGUGUCAACGGCAGGACCAGGUGGAGGUAAUUGAAUCAUGGGGGCAUUUUCCCCCAUGCUAUUCUCAUGAUGAUGAGUGAGUCUCACAAGAUCUGCUAAGCAUCUGGCAUUUCCCUGCUUGCACUCAUUCUCUCUCUUGCCACCCUGUAAAGAGGUGCCUUCUGCCAUGACUGUAACUUUCCUGAGGCCUCCCAAGCCAUGCAGUAUUCUAAGUUAAUUAAACCUCUUUUCUUUAUAAAUUAUCCAGACUAUGGUUAUUUCUUCAUAGCAACAUGAGAAUGAACUAAUACAGUAAAUUGGUACCAAGGUAGUAGGGCACUGCUACAAAGAUACAUGAAAAUAUAGAAGCAACUUUGGAACUGGGUAACAGGCAGAAGUUGGAAUAGUUUGGAGGGUUCAGAGGAAGACAGGAAAAUGUGGGAAAGUUUGGCACUUCCUAGAGAUUUGUUGAAUGGCUUUGCCCAAAAUGCUGAUAGUGAUAUGGACAAUGAAGUCCAGGCUGAGGUGGUCUCAGAUGAAGAUGAGAAACUUGUUAGGAACUGGAGUAAAGGUCACUCUUGCUAUUCCUUAGGAAAAAGACUGGAGGCUUUUUGUCCUUGCCCUAGAGAUCUGUGGAACUUUGAAGUUAAGAGAGAUGAUUUAGGGUAUCUGGUGGAAGAAAUUUCUAAGUGACAAAGUGUCCAAGAAGAGGCAGAGAAUAAAAAUUUGGAAAAUUUGCAGCCUGGAGAUGCAACAGAAAAUAAAAGCCCAUUUUCUGGGAAGAAAUUCAAGCCCACUGCAGAAAUUUGCAUAAGUAACGAGGAGCCAAAUGUCAAUUACCAGGACAAUGGGGAAAAUAUCUCCAGGGCAUGUCAGAGACCUUCACAGCAGCCUCUCCCUUCACAAGCCCAGAGGUCUAGGAGGGAAAAAUGGUUUCCUGGGCUGGGCCCAGGGUCCCCCUGCUCUGUGCAGCCUUGGGACAUGGUGUCCUGAGUCCCAGCUGCUUGAGUCCCAGCUGUGGCUAAAAGGGGCCAAAGUACAGUUCAGGCUGUUGCUUCAGAUGGUGCAAGCCCCAAGCCUUGGCGGCUUAAAUGUGCUGUUGGGCUUGUAGGUGCACAGAAGUCAAGAACUGAAGUUUGGGAACCUCCACCUAGAUUUCAGAGGAUGUAUGGAAACACCUGGAUGUCCAGGCAGAAGUUUGCUGCAGGAGUGCAGCCCUGAGGAGAACAUCUGCUAGGGCAGUGUGGAAGAGAAAUGUGGGUUUGGACCUCCCACAUAGAGUCCCCACUGGGGCACUGCCUAGUGCAGCUGCGAGGAGAGGACCACCAUCCUCCAGACCCCAGAAUGGUAGAUCCACUGAGAGUUUGCACCGUAUGCCUGGAAAAGCCACAGACACUCAACACCAGCCCAUGAAAGCAGCUGGGAGAGGGGCUGUAGCCUGCAAAGCCACAAUGGCAGAGCUGCCCAAGGCCAUGGGGGCCCACCUCUUGCAUCAGCAUGAUCUGGAUGUGAGAAAUGGAAUCAAAGGAGAUCAUUUGGAACUUUAAGGUUUAUUGACUGCCCUAUUGGAUUUCAGACUUGCAUGGGGCCUGCAGUCCCUUUGUUUUGGCCAAUUUCUCCCAUUUGGAAUGGGUGUAUUUACCAAAUGCCUGUACCCCCAUCGUAUCUAAAAAGUAACUAACUUGCUUUCGAUUUUACAGGCUUAUAGGUGGAAGAGACUUGCCUUGUCACAGAUGAGACUUUGGACUUGGACUUUUGGGUUAAUGCCAGAAUGAAUUAAGACCUUGGGGGAUUGUUGGAAAGGCAUGAUUGUGUUUUGAAAUGUGAGGACAUGAGAUUUGGGAGGUGCCGGGGUUGGAAUUGUAUGGUUUGGCUAUGUCCCCACCCAAAAUCUCAUCUUGAAUUGUAAUCUCCAUAGUCCCCAAGUAUCAUGAGAUGGACUCAGAGAAAGGUAAUUGAAUCAUGGGGGCAUUUCCCCCUGCUGUUCUCAUGAUACUGAGUGAGUUCUUAUGAGAUCUGAUGUUUUAUAAGCAUCUGGCAUUUCCCCUGCUGUGAGUCAAUUAAACUUCUUUUCUUUAUAAAUUAC